UACGGAAGGCAGCAGGGGGAAGUAUUGCACAAUGGGCGCAAGCCUGAUGCAGCCAUGCCGCGUGUAUGAAGAAGGCCUUCGGGUUGUAAAGUACUUUCAGUCGUGAGGAAGGUGUUAAGGUUAAUAACCUUAGCAAUUGACGUUAGCGACAGAAGAAGCACCGGCUAACUCCGUGCCAGCAGCCGCGGUAAUACGGAGGGUGCGAGCGUUAAUCGGAAUUACUGGGCGUAAAGGGCACGCAGGCGGUUAAUUAAGUUGGAUGUGAAAUCCCCGGGCUUAACCUGGGAAUGGCAUUCAAGACUGGUUAGCUAGAGUCUUGUAGAGGGGGGUUAGAAUUCCAUGUGUAGCGGUGAAAUGCGUAGAGAUGUGGAGGAAUACCGGUGGCGAAGGCGGCCCCUGGACAAAGACUGACGCUCAUGUGCGAAAGCGUGGGGAGCAAACAGGG
Molecule: ribosomal RNA, 445 nt
Filed under: uncultured bacterium
Lineage: Bacteria
Description: bacterial SSU rRNA
Rfam family: Bacterial small subunit ribosomal RNA
Source: RNAcentral